ACUAAGCGUACACGGUGGAUGCCCUGGCAGUCAGAGGCGAUGAAGGACGUGCUAAUCUGCGAAAAGCGCCGGCGAGGUGAUAUGAACCCUUGACCCGGCGAUGUCCGAAUGGGGAAACCCAGUGCAAUUCGUUGCACUAUCGUUAACUGAAUACAUAGGUUAACGAGGCGAACCGGGGGAACUGAAACAUCUAAGUACCCCGAGGAAAAGAAAUCAACCGAGAUUCCCCCAGUAGCGGCGAGCGAACGGGGAGCAGCCCGGAGUCUGAAUCAGCUUGUGUGUUAGUGGAACGGUCUGGAAAGUCCGACGGUACAGGGUGAUAGUCCCGUACACGAAAGCACACAUGCUGUGAACUCGAAGAGUAGGGCGGGACACGUGGUAUCCUGUCUGAAUAUGGGGGGACCAUCCUCCAAGGCUAAAUACUCCUGACUGACCGAUAGUGAACCAGUACCGUGAGGGAAAGGCGAAAAGAACCCCGGCGAGGGGAGUGAAAAAGAACCUGAAACCGUGUACGUACAAGCAGUGGGAGCCUCUUUAUGGGGUGACUGCGUACCUUUUGUAUAAUGGGUCAGCGACUUAUAUUCUGUAGCAAGGUUAACCGUAUAGGGGAGCCGAAGGGAAACCGAGUCUUAACUGGGCGUUAAGUUGCAGGGUAUAGACCCGAAACCCGGUGAUCUAGCCAUGGGCAGGUUGAAGGUUGGGUAACACUAACUGGAGGACCGAACCGACUAAUGUUGAAAAAUUAGCGGAUGACCUGUGGCUGGGGGUGAAAGGCCAAUCAAACCGGGAGAUAGCUGGUUCUCCCCGAAAGCUAUUUAGGUAGCGCCUCGUGAACUCAUCUUCGGGGGUAGAGCACUGUUUCGGCUAGGGGGCCAUCCCGGCUUACCAACCCGAUGCAAACUACGAAUACCGAAGAAUGUUAUCACGGGAGACACACGGCGGGUGCUAACGUCCGUCGUGAAGAGGGAAACAACCCAGACCGCCAGCUAAGGUCCCAAAGUCAUGGUUAAGUGGGAAACGAUGUGGGAAGGCACAGACAGCCAGGAUGUUGGCUUAGAAGCAGCCAUCAUUUAAAGAAAGCGUAAUAGCUCACUGGUCGAGUCGGCCUGCGCGGAAGAUGUAACGGGGCUAAACCAUGCACCGAAGCUGCGGCAGCGACACUAUGUGUUGUUGGGUAGGGGAGCGUUCUGUAAGCCGUUGAAGGUGUGCUGUGAGGCAUGCUGGAGGUAUCAGAAGUGCGAAUGCUGACAUAAGUAACGAUAAAGCGGGUGAAAAGCCCGCUCGCCGGAAGACCAAGGGUUCCUGUCCAACGUUAAUCGGGGCAGGGUGAGUCGACCCCUAAGGCGAGGCCGAAAGGCGUAGUCGAUGGGAAACAGGUUAAUAUUCCUGUACUUGGUGUUACUGCGAAGGGGGGACGGAGAAGGCUAUGUCAGCCGGGCGACGGUUGUCCCGGUUUAAGCAUGUAGGCGGAGGUUCCAGGUAAAUCCGGUACCUUUUUAACGCUGAGGUGUGAUGACGAGGCACUACGGUGCUGAAGUGAUAAAUGCCCUGCUUCCAGGAAAAGCCUCUAAGCAUCAGGUAACACGAAAUCGUACCCCAAACCGACACAGGUGGUCAGGUAGAGAAUACCAAGGCGCUUGAGAGAACUCGGGUGAAGGAACUAGGCAAAAUGGUGCCGUAACUUCGGGAGAAGGCACGCUGAUGUGUAGGUGAAGCCCCUGCGGGCGGAGCUGAAAUCAGUCGAAGAUACCAGCUGGCUGCAACUGUUUAUUAAAAACACAGCACUGUGCAAACACGAAAGUGGACGUAUACGGUGUGACGCCUGCCCGGUGCCGGAAGGUUAAUUGAUGGGGUUAGCGGCAACGCGAAGCUCUUGAUCGAAGCCCCGGUAAACGGCGGCCGUAACUAUAACGGUCCUAAGGUAGCGAAAUUCCUUGUCGGGUAAGUUCCGACCUGCACGAAUGGCGUAAUGAUGGCCAGGCUGUCUCCACCCGAGACUCAGUGAAAUUGAACUCGCUGUGAAGAUGCAGUGUACCCGCGGCAAGACGGAAAGACCCCGUGAACCUUUACUAUAGCUUGACACUGAACACUGGUCCUUGAUGUGUAGGAUAGGUGGGAGGCUUUGAAGCGUGGACGCCAGUCUGCGUGGAGCCAACCUUGAAAUACCACCCUUUAAUGGCUGGUGUUCUAACGUAGACCCGUAAUCCGGGUUGCGGACAGUGUCUGGUGGGUAGUUUGACUGGGGCGGUCUCCUCCCAAAGAGUAACGGAGGAGCACGAAGGUUGGCUAAUCCUGGUCGGACAUCAGGAGGUUAGUGCAAUGGCAUAAGCCAGCUUGACUGCGAGCGUGACGGCGCGAGCAGGUGCGAAAGCAGGUCAUAGUGAUCCGGUGGUUCUGAAUGGAAGGGCCAUCGCUCAACGGAUAAAAGGUACUCCGGGGAUAACAGGCUGAUACCGCCCAAGAGUUCAUAUCGACGGCGGUGUUUGGCACCUCGAUGUCGGCUCAUCACAUCCUGGGGCUGAAGUAGGUCCCAAGGGUAUGGCUGUUCGCCAUUUAAAGUGGUACGCGAGCUGGGUUUAGAACGUCGUGAGACAGUUCGGUCCCUAUCUGCCGUGGGCGCUGGAGAAUUGAGGGGGGCUGCUCCUAGUACGAGAGGACCGGAGUGGACGCAUCACUGGUGUUCGGGUUGUCAUGCCAAUGGCACUGCCCGGUAGCUAAAUGCGGAAGAGAUAAGUGCUGAAAGCAUCUAAGCACGAAACUUGCCCCGAGAUGAGUUCUCCCUGAGACUUUAAGUCUCCUGAAGGAACGUUGAAGACGACGACGUUGAUAGGUCGGGUGUGUAAGCGCAGCGAUGCGUUGAGCUAACCGAUACUAAUGAACCGUGAGGCUUAACC
This 2894-nucleotide ribosomal RNA is filed under the name Enterobacter hormaechei YT2. RNAcentral describes it as "bacterial LSU rRNA". It matches the Rfam family "Bacterial large subunit ribosomal RNA". The record is from RNAcentral. Lineage: Bacteria; Pseudomonadati; Pseudomonadota; Gammaproteobacteria; Enterobacterales; Enterobacteriaceae. RNAcentral also lists the same sequence under 1 other name.